RNAcentral lists this ribosomal RNA (216 nucleotides) under Glomeromycotina sp. RNAcentral's name for it is "partial small subunit ribosomal RNA". The stretch from base 40 to 216 matches the Rfam family "Eukaryotic small subunit ribosomal RNA", at positions 686 to 864 of the family's 1831-position model. The record is from RNAcentral. Lineage: Eukaryota; Fungi; Glomeromycota.
GGGUCAGUAGGUUGGUCGUGCCACCGGUACGUACUGGUCUCACUGAUUCCUCCUUCCUGAAGAACCGUAAUGCCAUUAAUUUGGCGUUGCGGGGAAACAGGACUGUUACUUUGAAAAAAUUAGAGUGUUUAAAGCAAGCUAACGCUUGAAUGCAUUAGCAUGGAAUAAUGAAAUAGGACGAUCGAUCCUAUUUUGUUGGUUUCUAGGAUUGACGUA